GAUGAACGCUGGCGGCGUGCCUAAUACAUGCAAGUCGAGCGAACAGACGAGGAGCUUGCUCCUCUGACGUUAGCGGCAGACGUGUGAGUAACACGUGUAUAACCUACCUAUAAUACUGGGAUAACUUCGGGAAACCGGAGCUAAUACCGUAGGAUCUAUUGAACCGCAUGGGUGAAUAGUGAAAGUCGGCGUUUCGGUCAGGUAUAGAGGGAUCCGCGCCGCAUUAGGUAGUUGGGAAGGUAACGGCGUACGAAGGCAACGAUGCGUAGCCGAGAUGAGAGGGUGAGCGGCCGCACUGGAACUGAGACACGGUCCAGAGUGAUACGGGAGGCAGCAGUAGGGAAUCUGGCGCAAUGGGCGAAAGCCUGACGGAGCAGCGCCGCGUGAGUGAUGAAGGUCGUCGGAUCGGAAAACUCUGUUAUUAGGGAAGAACAAAUGUGUAAGUAACUAUGCGCGUCUUGACGGUACCUAAUCAGAAAGCCACGGCUAACUACGUG
RNAcentral lists this ribosomal RNA (497 nucleotides) under uncultured bacterium. Its description in RNAcentral is "partial 16S ribosomal RNA". It matches the Rfam family "Bacterial small subunit ribosomal RNA", at positions 28 to 507 of the family's 1533-position model. The record is from RNAcentral.